This 24-nucleotide non-coding RNA is filed under the name Arabidopsis thaliana (thale cress). The record is from RNAcentral. Lineage: Eukaryota; Viridiplantae; Streptophyta; Magnoliopsida; Brassicales; Brassicaceae.
UCAAAGCUUUCAUGGUGUAGCCAA